GACGAACGCUGGCGGCGUGCUUAACACAUGCAAGUCGAACGGAAAGGCCCUGCUUGCAGGGUGCUCGCGUGGCGAACGGGUGAGUAACACGUGGGUGAUCUGCCCCUUACUUUGGGAUAAGCCUGGGAAAAUGGGUCUAAUACUGGAUAGGACCAUGCUGUAGGUGGUGUGGUGGAAAGAUUAGUUUCGGUAGGGGAUGAGCUCGCGGCCUAUCAGCGUGUUGGUGGGGUAAUGGCCUACCAAGGCGUCGACGGGUAGCCGGCCUGAGAGGGUGGACGGCCACAUUGGGACUAAGAUACGGCCCAGACGCCUACGGGAGGCAGCAGUGGGGAAUAUUGCACAAUGGGCGCAAGCCUGAUGCAGCGACGCCGCGGGGGGGAUGACGGCCUUCGGGUUGUAAACUCCUUUCAGCCAUGACGAAGCCCUUGUGGUGACGGUAGUGGGAGAAGAAGCACCGGCUAACUACGUG
RNAcentral lists this ribosomal RNA (469 nucleotides) under uncultured bacterium. Its description in RNAcentral is "partial 16S ribosomal RNA". It matches the Rfam family "Bacterial small subunit ribosomal RNA", at positions 28 to 507 of the family's 1533-position model. The record is from RNAcentral.